Molecule: ribosomal RNA, 251 nt
Filed under: Mycobacterium tuberculosis variant microti
Lineage: Bacteria; Bacillati; Actinomycetota; Actinomycetes; Mycobacteriales; Mycobacteriaceae
Description: partial 23S rRNA
Rfam family: Bacterial large subunit ribosomal RNA
Source: RNAcentral
UGUCCUACAAUCCGUCAGAGCCUCCUUUUCCUCUCCGGAGGAGGGUGGUGAUGGCGUGCCUUUUGAAGAAUGAGCCUGCGAGUCAGGGACAUGUCGCAAGGUUAACCCGUGUGGGGUAGCCGCAGCGAAAGCGAGUCUGAAUAGGGCGACCCACACGCGCAUACGCGCGUGUGAAUAGUGGCGUGUUCUGGACCCGAAGCGGAGUGAUCUACCCAUGGCCAGGGUGAAGCGCGGGUAAGACCGCGUGGAGG